This 263-nucleotide unclassified non-coding RNA is filed under the name Bombus terrestris (buff-tailed bumblebee). RNAcentral describes it as "misc RNA ENSBTSG00005037297.1". Lineage: Eukaryota; Metazoa; Arthropoda; Insecta; Hymenoptera; Apidae. The record is from RNAcentral.
GAAAGAUCGCUAGCUCAGGACGUUGAAAAGCGAUUCUCGAUUUUCAGACUACAGAAUAGAUCCCUGAAUUAUCCCCGGAUUACUAUCUUACAUAUAUGUACAUAUUUGUAUAUUUAUAUAUAUAUAUAUAGAGAGAGAGAGAGAGAAUGUUACAAGGAAGUAAUCUAAAACUUUGUAAAUUUGUAGUACAUGUUUAAUGAGAGAAGUAUAAAAUAUCUGAUAAGCGUAGAUCCAAAAAUUAAUCCUAUUUAUUUGAUAUACCG